UCGUCAAAAGUCGAAUAACAGAGCUUUUGUUUAUUUUUUUCAAAUAUUUUGAACAAUUGGAUAUUUGUCCAUGCUUACUCUUCUUUUUUUAAGAAAUGAAUACUUGAAACAUAUUGUAUUUGCUAAUUUUAAAAAGAUGACGUUUUGAUGACGUCGCAUGGCGACGUUUCAGUACAUUUUGCUUUUUCAGUAAACACUUCAUCUGUUGAUAAAUACUGUGAACGUUUUGUGUAUAUCUAAAUAUAUUUACCUAUUUUGAAAGACAUGUAUAGUAUCAAAUCAUAAAAAUACAA
RNAcentral lists this long non-coding RNA (293 nucleotides) under Mytilus galloprovincialis (Mediterranean mussel). Lineage: Eukaryota; Metazoa; Mollusca; Bivalvia; Mytilida; Mytilidae. The record is from RNAcentral.